AAACUUUCAACAACGGAUCUCUUGGUUCUGGCAUCGAUGAAGAACGCAGCAA
RNAcentral lists this ribosomal RNA (52 nucleotides) under Balansia asperata. RNAcentral describes it as "partial 5.8S ribosomal RNA". It matches the Rfam family "5.8S ribosomal RNA", at positions 1 to 51 of the family's 154-position model. Rfam says of the family: 5.8S ribosomal RNA (5.8S rRNA) is a component of the large subunit of the eukaryotic ribosome. It is transcribed by RNA polymerase I as part of the 45S precursor that also contains 18S and 28S rRNA. Lineage: Eukaryota; Fungi; Ascomycota; Sordariomycetes; Hypocreales; Clavicipitaceae. The record is from RNAcentral.